Molecule: ribosomal RNA, 375 nt
Filed under: uncultured eukaryote
Lineage: Eukaryota
Description: partial 18S ribosomal RNA
Rfam family: Eukaryotic small subunit ribosomal RNA
Source: RNAcentral
CAAUAGCGUAUAUUUAAGUUGUUGCAGUUAAAAAGCUCGUAGUUGGAUUUCGGUUAAGAGCGACCGGUCCGUCGUUUGGUGUGCACUGGUUGGUUUUAACUUCCUGUAGAGGACGUGCUCUGGGUUUAACGACCUGGACUCGGAGUCUACGUGGUUACUUUGAAAAAAUUAGAGUGUUCAAAGCGGGCUUACGCUUGAAUAUUUCAGCAUGGAAUAACACUAUAGGACUCCUGUCCUAUUUCGUUGGUCUCGGGACGGGAGUAAUGAUUAAGAGGAACAGUUGGGGGCAUUCGUAUUUCAUUGUCAGAGGUGAAAUUCUUGGAUUUAUGAAAGACGAACUUCUGCGAAAGCAUUUGCCAAGGAUGUUUUCAUUAA